AUUGAACGCUGGCGGCAUGCUUUACACAUGCAAGUCGAACGGCAGCGCGGGCUUCGGCCUGGCGGCGAGUGGCGAACGGGUGAGUAAUGCAUCGGAACGUGCCCAGUAGUGGGGAUAGCCCGGCGAAAGCCGGAUUAAUACCGCAUACGACCUGAGGGUGAAAGCGGGGGACCGAAAGGCCUCGCGCUAUUGGAGCGGCCGAUGUCGGAUUAGCUAGUUGGUGGGGUAAAGGCUUACCAAGGCGACGAUCCGUAGCUGGUCUGAGAGGACGACCAGCCACACUGGGACUGAGACACGGCCCAGACUCCUACGGGAGGCAGCAGUGGGGAAUUUUGGACAAUGGGGGCAACCCUGAUCCAGCCAUGCCGCGUGCGGGAAGAAGGCCUUCGGGUUGUAAACCGCUUUUGUUCGGGAAGAAAUCCUCUGGGCUAAUACCCCGGGGGAUGACGGUACCGGAAGAAUAAGCACCGGCUAACUACGUG
This 482-nucleotide ribosomal RNA is filed under the name uncultured bacterium. RNAcentral describes it as "partial 16S ribosomal RNA". It matches the Rfam family "Bacterial small subunit ribosomal RNA", at positions 29 to 507 of the family's 1533-position model. The record is from RNAcentral.